This is a transfer RNA of Synechococcus elongatus, 72 nucleotides long. It matches the Rfam family "tRNA". Rfam says of the family: Transfer RNA (tRNA) molecules are approximately 80 nucleotides in length. Their secondary structure includes four short double-helical elements and three loops (D, anti-codon, and T loops). The record is from Rfam. NCBI's taxonomy places the organism in Bacteria, Bacillati, Cyanobacteriota, Cyanophyceae, Synechococcales, Synechococcaceae.
GGGCGCUUAACUCAGCGGUAGAGUGGCUGCCUUACAAGCAGUAAGUCACUGGUUCGAAUCCAGUAGUGCCCA